AUCUCUGGAUUAUUUUUCUCCCCUCUCGCCUUGAUGUGAGGAUGUUAACUACCGAUGGCGUGACAUCAAAGUUAAAAGGAAAAAAAAAACUAUCUCUGUAUGUAAACAUUUCUUCUCUAAAUCCAACUCCAGUGUUCCCAGUUCCCAAAAUUCCCUGUUCCUGGUUUAAUAUGUUCCCAGUUUCCUAUGUUCCCAUUGGCCUGUGUUUCCCAUUCCUUACGUUGCCAGUUUCCUAAAAUUCCCCAUUUUCGAUGUCCCAGUUUGAUAUGUACUCAGUUCUCGAUGUUCCAGUUUAAUAUGUACUCGGUUCUCGAUGUUCCAGUUUGAUAUGUACUCGGUUCUCGAUGUUCCAGUUUGAUAUGUACUCGGUUCUCGAUGUUCCAGUUUAAUAUGUACUCUGUUCUCGAUGUUCCGGUUUGAUAUGUACUCAGUUCUCGAUGUUCCAGUUUAAUAUGUACUCGGUUCUCGAUGUUCCAGUUUAAUAUGUACUCAGUUCUUUAUGUUCCGGUUUGAUAUGUACUCUGUUCUCGAUGUUCCGGUUUGAUAUGUACUCUGUUCUCGAUGUUCCGGUUUGAUAUGUACUCGGUUCUUGAUGUUCCAGUUUGAUAUGUACUCGGUUCUCGAUGUUCCAGUUUGAUAUGUACUCAGUUCUUUAUGUUCCGGUUUAAUAUGUACUCUGUUCUCGAUGUUCCAGUUUGAUAUGUACUCUGUUCUCGAUGUUCUGGUUUGAUAUGUACUCGGUUCUUGAUGUUCCAGUUUGAUAUGUACUCAGUUCUCGAUGUUCCCAGUUUGAUAUGUACUCGGUUCUCGAUGUUCCCGUUUGAUAUGUACUCUGUUCUCGAUGUUCCGGUUUGAUAUGUACUCGGUUCUUGAUGUUCCAGUUUGAUAUGUACUCGGUUCUCGAUGUUCCAGUUUGAUAUGUACUCGGUUCUUGAUGUUCCAGUUUGAUAUGUACUCGGUUCUCGAUGUUCCCGUUUAAUAUGUACUCGGUUCUCGAUGUUCCCAGUUGCCUAUAUUCCCAAAUCUCUAUGGUCCCAGUUCCCAGUAAGCCCAGUUCCAUAUGUUUCCAGUUUGUCUGUCCGCAGUGUCACGUGUUCUCCGUGUUCUCCGUGUUCUCCGUGUUCUCGGGUCGCUCUGUGAACACGCUCGGUGUUUUGGGAGCUUUCAGGUUUCUGAUUUCUUUUCUUUUUUUUCUUUUUUCUUUUUUUCUUUCUCAAUUUCAGCCUCAAAAAACUCCAAAAUUGCAAGAAAGUUUCUGAGCCGUUUGUCCAGAUCGUUAAAAUCUCCUCGGUUCUGGGAAUAAGCCGAGUCGGAUGGAGAGCCUUGAACAAUGUGGAGUUAUUUGUGACUCGGAGCAGUGGAAGUGGAAGCGCGAGGUUAGCAGGCAGUCGGUCAAUGGCAGGAACUUCCCCGUUUUUAGGGCAGGAAGUGUUGUGAUUGAGCCGACAUAACGGACCCUGGAGUUACUUCCUGUGUGUGUGUGUGUGUGUGUGUGUGUGUGUGUGUGUGUGUGUGUGUGUGUGUGCAGUUACACACCGUGUCCAGCAGGUGAGGACAGAGGACACUGAGGGAGAGGAGAUGAAAUGGACUGAUUUGAAUCCCCAAUUCCUAUAUAUAUAGUGUCUUAUAU
Ictalurus punctatus (channel catfish) is the source of this 1630-nucleotide long non-coding RNA. The record is from Ensembl. Lineage: Eukaryota; Metazoa; Chordata; Actinopteri; Siluriformes; Ictaluridae.